Molecule: unclassified non-coding RNA, 330 nt
Filed under: soil metagenome
Description: partial contains 5.8S ribosomal RNA, internal transcribed spacer 2, and large subunit ribosomal RNA
Rfam family: 5.8S ribosomal RNA (bases 1-120)
Source: RNAcentral
GAUGAAGAACGUAGUGAAAUGCGAUAAGUAAUGUGAAUUGCAGAAUUCAGUGAAUCAUCGAAUCUUUGAACGCACAUUGCGCCCUCUGGUAUUCCGGGGGGCAUGCCUGUUCGAGCGUCAUUACAACCCUCAAGCUUUGCUUGGUAUUGGACAUUGCCAGUUUCUGGCAGGUCUUAAAAUCAGUGGCGGUGCCAUUUGGCUUCAAGCGUAGUAAUUCUUCUCGCUUUGGAGAUCCAGGUGGUUACUUGACAAUAACCCCCAAUUUUUUCAGGUUGACCUCGGAUCAGGUAGGGAUACCCGCUGAACUUAAGCAUAUCAAUAAGCGGAGGA